UACGAAGGGGGCUAGCGUUGUUCGGAAUUACUGGGCGUAAAGCGUGCGCAGGCGGUUUGUUAAGUCCGUUGUGAAAGCCCCGAGCUCAACUUGGGAAUUGCAGUGGAUACUGGCAGGCUGGAGUACGGUAGAGGAAGGUGGAAUUCCCGGUGUAGCAGUGAAAUGCGUAGAUAUCGGGAGGAACACCAGUGGCGAAGGCGGUUGCCUGGAGCUUUGCUGACGCUGAUGCGCGAAAGCGUGGGGAGCGAUCCGG
Molecule: ribosomal RNA, 253 nt
Filed under: uncultured bacterium
Lineage: Bacteria
Description: partial 16S ribosomal RNA
Rfam family: Bacterial small subunit ribosomal RNA
Source: RNAcentral